UGUUUUUUUUAUCUUCUUACAUCCAUAGGGAAAUGUCGGUAAAGAGGGCCCUCCUGGACCACCGGGUGAAAUUAUACUCGAUGGUACAAACAACACGUUAGUGAAGGGUCAAAAGGGAGAUAAAGGUUCUUCGAUAGAUCUCGAUUCAAUAAAAGGAUUGAAGGGUACCAAGGUAAGAACUUUCGAUAAUGGAUUUUU
Molecule: long non-coding RNA, 198 nt
Organism: Octopus bimaculoides (California two-spot octopus)
Lineage: Eukaryota; Metazoa; Mollusca; Cephalopoda; Octopoda; Octopodidae
Source: RefSeq, a predicted model, not a curated record